UGGGGAAUCUUCCGCAAUGGACGAAAGUCUGACGGAGCAACGCCGCGUGUAUGAUGAAGGUCUUCGGAUUGUAAAGUACUGUCAUUGGGGAAGAACGGUUUUCUUGAAAAGAUUGAGAAGACAUGACGGUACCCAAGGAGGAAGCCCCGGCUAACUACGUGCCAGCAGCCGCGGUAAUACGUAGGGGGCAAGCGUUGUCCGGAAUUAUUGGGCGUAAAGGGCGCGUAGGCGGGCCUUUAAGUCCGGUGUGAAAGAUCAGGGCUCAACCCUGAGAGUGCAUCGGAAACUGGAGGCCUUGAGGACAGGAGAGGAAAGUGGAAUUCCACGUGUAGCGGUGAAAUGCGUAGAUAUGUGGAGGAACACCAGUGGCGAAGGCGACUUUCUGGACUGUAACUGACGCUGAGGCGCGAAAAGCGUGGGGAGCAAAACAGGAUUAGAUACCCUGGUAGUCCACGCCGUAAACGAUGAGUGCUAGGUGUAGAGGGUAUCGACCCCUUCUGUGCCGCAGUUAACACAAUAAGCACUCCGCCUGGGGAGUACGGCCGCAAGGUUG
This 553-nucleotide ribosomal RNA is filed under the name uncultured bacterium. RNAcentral's name for it is "partial 16S ribosomal RNA". It matches the Rfam family "Bacterial small subunit ribosomal RNA", at positions 355 to 896 of the family's 1533-position model. The record is from RNAcentral.